AGUGACUUAAUACAAUACACAGGGCAGUGUUUGGUGCUUUGUGUGUGU
Molecule: microRNA precursor, 48 nt
Organism: Gadus morhua (Atlantic cod)
Lineage: Eukaryota; Metazoa; Chordata; Actinopteri; Gadiformes; Gadidae
Source: Ensembl